CGAUUGUGCCCCUAGAUGUUGGGGGCGUUGAUCCCUCUCCAGUGUCGGCAGCUAACGCAUUAAGUGCCACCCGCCCUGGGGAGUACGGUCGCAAGAUUAAAACUUCAAAGGAAUUGACGGGGGCCCGCACAAGCGGUGGAGUAUGUGGUUUAAUUCGAUGCAACGCGAAGAACCUUACCUGGCCUUGACAUCCCGGGGAUCUCUUGGAAACAGGAGAGUGCUUUCAUUAGAGAGAACCUGGGACAGGUGCUGCAUGGCUGUCGUCAGCUCGUGUCGUGAGAUGUUGGGUUAAGUCCCGCAACGAGCGCAACCCUCGCCUUUAGUUGCCAUCAGUUUGGCUGGGCACUCUAAAGGGACUGCCCGGUGUCAAACCGGAGGAAGGUGGGGAUGACGUCCAAGUCCCCCAUGGCCUUUAUGGCCAGGGCUACACACGUACU
RNAcentral lists this ribosomal RNA (437 nucleotides) under uncultured bacterium. RNAcentral describes it as "bacterial SSU rRNA". It matches the Rfam family "Bacterial small subunit ribosomal RNA", at positions 801 to 1226 of the family's 1533-position model. The record is from RNAcentral.